This is a long non-coding RNA of Pieris brassicae (large cabbage white), 317 nucleotides long. RefSeq lists it as uncharacterized. The record is from RefSeq and is a predicted model, not a curated record. The transcript is spliced from 2 exons. NCBI's taxonomy places the organism in Eukaryota, Metazoa, Arthropoda, Insecta, Lepidoptera, Pieridae.
CGAAGCAUGAAUAAUAAAGGUUACUGUAUAGCUCAUACAGGAAAUUCAACGUCUAAGUAGGUCACAUACAAGCGAUAAUGAGUGAAAUUCUAAAGGACUAGCGUCACCCGCGCAGGGCCAACUUUGAAGUAACUUAAACCCAACAGCCCCAUCUUCUCGCUAUGGACAGGAGGCACGGUAGGAUUCCCUUAAUCCACUCCAGGAGUACGAUCCAUUGCCAGCCAUAGAGACAAUGAUUAUAAAUGUUAAAUUAAAAAAAUAUAUCAAAAGUUUGCCGUAGUAACUACCGUUUCAUACAUAAAAAAAUUAUUAUUUUA